This is a long non-coding RNA of Trichoplusia ni (cabbage looper), 869 nucleotides long. RefSeq lists it as uncharacterized. The transcript has 2 exons. The record is from RefSeq and is a predicted model, not a curated record. NCBI's taxonomy places the organism in Eukaryota, Metazoa, Arthropoda, Insecta, Lepidoptera, Noctuidae.
GAUUUACACAUUUUUAAUACGUGGCGCUAGUGUCGAAGCGAGUGAUCGCCUGUCAUUGUCAAACUCAAUCGUGAUUCGUGGAUGCCAAGUGUUUUGUGUUGUGAGUGAACGUUGAAAAUUGAUGUAAUCUAUCGUUGUCAUGUGGUUAUGUGUGCGUGCAGUUAGAUAAGCAACAGUGUGGUGGGGUUGUUGAAGUGAUCCAACAUUGUGGAAUGGUUCCUGUGUGUUGGCGGUGUCUUGUUGAUGUAAGUUAACAUAUUUAUACUUGUUUACACAGCGGACGAUGCUGGCUGACGAUAUCUUUAGCUCUGUUCAUCAUUUAACCAAUAUUAUUAGCUGUUCAGUUAAUACGAACAUGAACAAGAAACAGCAAAAUAGAUUGCCAGGAAUUCUUGUAUUUUAUUUUUUUUGGAUGAUACUCUUAGAUGAAUUGUCUUUAAGUUAGAGGAAAAAUAAACCGGUUUCCAAUUCAUUGAAACAGUUGAGUCUUAAGUAGUUUGAACUUCGUAGGAAAAGACAGUUCGACGAAUCGGCUACAAUACGGCUAGUAAAUUUAUCCACAAGCGGAGAACGCGAUAUGAGAUCCAAAAAUAUGGUAGGAUUGAAAGUACAUGUCGUCUUUGGGUGGAUAAUAUUAUGAAAGAAAACCAAUUUCGGAUGGUAAUAGCUUACUUGAAUAACUCUAAAAAUUUAAUUCCACAUUCCAACUACGGUAAUACAUCUAUUUCCUUCCAUCUUCCCGUUACAUGAAUUUCCGUGGCUCGGCACUAACCCCGUCUAACUGAGCGUUAAAAAUGCAGCCCCAAAUUCGAGAAAGUAACCCGAGAUGCGAGACGAUGUGCAAUUGGUUUUCGCCUAAUGUAAGACGA